RNAcentral lists this ribosomal RNA (253 nucleotides) under uncultured bacterium. Its description in RNAcentral is "partial 16S ribosomal RNA". It matches the Rfam family "Bacterial small subunit ribosomal RNA", at positions 524 to 776 of the family's 1533-position model. The record is from RNAcentral.
UACGUAGGGUGCAAGCGUUGUCCGGAAUUAUUGGGCGUAAAGAGCUCGUAGGCGGUUUGUCGCGUCUGCUGUGAAAACCCGAGGCUCAACCUCGGGCCUGCAGUGGGUACGGGCAGACUAGAGUGCGGUAGGGGAGAUUGGAAUUCCUGGUGUAGCGGUGAAAUGCGUAGAUAUCGGGAGGAACAUCAGUGGCGAAGGCGGCCUUCUGGUCCAGUACUGACACUCAAGUGCGAAAGCGUGGGGAGCAAACAGG